Molecule: long non-coding RNA, 237 nt
Filed under: Olea europaea (common olive)
Lineage: Eukaryota; Viridiplantae; Streptophyta; Magnoliopsida; Lamiales; Oleaceae
Description: long non-coding RNA (OEUR_LNC011743)
Source: RNAcentral
GCAUCAAUCUACUUCUGAGAGUUAGAACUGCGCAUGGCCUGAUGGAAGUUGAUCGGGUCAUCCUCCGUUAAACCAACGCCAUCCUCAUGUUCUUGAAGAAAGACGAUAUAAUCAUCUGAAAUCGCAUUUCUUCUCUCCCUAGUGGAUCUCCUUAAUAGCACUUCUUGAGGUUGUUGAGUUUGUUCUAUAGGUGGUGCUUGAGGAAGAAUCUCAUUGUUGUCUUGGUCUGAAACAAUG